GACAGAGGGGGCAAGCGUUGCUCGGAAUUACUGGGCGUAAAGAGCUCGUAGGCGGUUUGUCGCGUCUGCCGUGAAAGUCCGGGGCUCAACUCCGGAUCUGCGGUGGGUACGGGCAGACUAGAGUGAUGUAGGGGAGACUGGAAUUCCUGGUGUAGCGGUGAAAUGCGCAGAUAUCAGGAGGAACACCGAUGGCGAAGGCAGGUCUCUGGGCAUUAACUGACGCUGAGGAGCGAAAGCAUGGGGAGCGAACAGG
RNAcentral lists this ribosomal RNA (253 nucleotides) under uncultured bacterium. RNAcentral describes it as "partial 16S ribosomal RNA". It matches the Rfam family "Bacterial small subunit ribosomal RNA", at positions 524 to 776 of the family's 1533-position model. The record is from RNAcentral.